Molecule: ribosomal RNA, 253 nt
Filed under: uncultured bacterium
Lineage: Bacteria
Description: partial 16S ribosomal RNA
Rfam family: Bacterial small subunit ribosomal RNA
Source: RNAcentral
UACGUAGGGGGCAAGCGUUGUCCGGAUUUACUGGGCGUAAAGAGCGCGUAGGCGGAAGGUGAAGCGUGGCCUGAAAGCCCCCGGCUCAACCGGGGAAGGCGGCUGCGAACUGGCCUUCUUGAGGGCGAUAGAGGGGGGCGGAAUUCCUGGUGUAGCGGUGAAAUGCGCAGAUAUCAGGAGGAACACCGGUGGCGAAGGCGGAUCUCUGGGCCAUUACUGACGCUGAGGAGCGAAAGCGUGGGGAGCGAACAGG